GCGAGGGUAUCCAAGCGGCCAAAGGAGCUGGACUUAAGAUCCAGUCGCGCAGGCGUUCAUGGGUUCGAUUCCCAUCCCUCGCA
Molecule: transfer RNA, 83 nt
Filed under: Candidatus Methanoperedens sp.
Lineage: Archaea; Methanobacteriati; Methanobacteriota; Methanomicrobia; Methanosarcinales; Candidatus Methanoperedentaceae
Also listed under: 1 other name
Description: tRNA-Leu
Rfam family: tRNA
About the family: Transfer RNA (tRNA) molecules are approximately 80 nucleotides in length. Their secondary structure includes four short double-helical elements and three loops (D, anti-codon, and T loops).
Source: RNAcentral